AUUGAACGCUGGCGGCAGGCCUAAUACAUGCAAGUCGAGCGGAAUGAUGAAGAAGCUUGCUUCUUCUGAUUUUAGCGGCGGACGGGUGAGUAACACGUGGGCAACCUACCUUGUAGAUUGGGAUAACUCCGGGAAACCGGGGCUAAUACCGAAUAAUCCAUUUUGCUUCAUGGCGAGAUGUUAAAAGGCGGCUUCGGCUGUCACUACGAGAUGGGCCCACGGCGCAUUAGCUAGUUGGUAGGGUAAUGGCCUACCAAGGCGACGAUGCGUAGCCGACCUGAGAGGGUGAUCGGCCACACUGGGACUGAGACACGGCCCAGACUCCUACGGGAGGCAGCAGUAGGGAAUCUUCCACAAUGGACGAAAGUCUGAUGGAGCAACGCCGCGUGAGUGAAGAAGGUUUUCGGAUCGUAAAACUCUGUUGUAAGGGAAGAACACGUACGAGAGUAACUGCUCGUACCUUGACGGUACCUUAUUAGAAAGCCACGGCUAACUACGUG
RNAcentral lists this ribosomal RNA (500 nucleotides) under uncultured bacterium. RNAcentral describes it as "bacterial SSU rRNA". It matches the Rfam family "Bacterial small subunit ribosomal RNA", at positions 30 to 507 of the family's 1533-position model. The record is from RNAcentral.